GAUGAACGCUAGCGGCAGGCUUAACACAUGCAAGUCGAGGGGCAGCACGGGUAGCAAUACCUGGUGGCGACCGGCGCAAGGGUGCGUAACGCGUGAGCAACAUGCCCUAUACAGGGGGAUAAUCCAGGGAAACUUGGUCUAAUAUCCCAUAGCAUUUAGAGGAGGCAUCUUCACUAAAUUAAAGCUUCGGUGGUAUAGGAUUGGCUCGCGUGACAUUAGCUAGAUGGUGAGGUAACGGCCCACCAUGGCUAUGAUGUCUAGGGGUUCUGAGAGGAAGACCCCCCACACUGGGACUGAGACACGGCCCAGACUCCUACGGGAGGCAGCAGUGAGGAAUAUUGGACAAUGGAUGGAAAUCUGAUCCAGCCAUGCCGCGUGCAGGAAGACGGCCCUAUGGGUUGUAAACUGCUUUUAUAUGGGAGCAAAUAAGGUUUACGAGUAGACCGAUGAGAGUACCAUAUGAAUAAGCAUCGGCUAA
This 478-nucleotide ribosomal RNA is filed under the name uncultured bacterium. RNAcentral describes it as "bacterial SSU rRNA". It matches the Rfam family "Bacterial small subunit ribosomal RNA", at positions 28 to 500 of the family's 1533-position model. The record is from RNAcentral.